GAUGAACGCUGGCGGCGUGCCUAAUACAUGCAAGUCGAGCGAACAGACGAGGAGCUUGCUCCUCUGACGUUAGCGGCGGACGGGUGAGUAACACGUGGAUAACCUACCUAUAAGACUGGGAUAACUUCGGGAAACCGGAGCUAAUACCGGAUAAUAUAUUGAACCGCAUGGUUCAAUAGUGAAAGACGGUUUUGCUGUCACUUAUAGAUGAAUCCGCGCCUCAUUAGCUAGUUGGUAAGGUAACGGCUUACCAAGGCAACGAUGCGUAGCCGACCUGAGAGGGUGAUCGGCCACACUGGAACUGAGACACGGUCCAGACUCCUACGGGAGGCAGCAGUAGGGAAUCUUCCGCAAUGGGCGAAAGCCUGACGGAGCAACGCCGCGUGAGUGAUGAAGGUCUUCGGAUCGUAAAACUCUGUUAUUAGGGAAGAACAAAUGUGUAAGUAACUAUGCACGUCUUGACGGUACCUAAUCAGAAAGCCACGGCUAACUACGUG
RNAcentral lists this ribosomal RNA (497 nucleotides) under uncultured bacterium. Its description in RNAcentral is "partial 16S ribosomal RNA". It matches the Rfam family "Bacterial small subunit ribosomal RNA", at positions 28 to 507 of the family's 1533-position model. The record is from RNAcentral.